GCUGCUGUUUGCAGGGUGCUGCUGGGGAAGUGUGGAGCAAGGAAGUUUUCCAAUGGGCUGCAAGCACAGACUAUGCCAUUUAUGUGGAAAAAAUUAAUCUCCAGACCUUCUGAGAUGCAAAGAAACGUUUGGCAGCUGGGAACCAGGGAGGUUAAGGCAGAGAUUUUGCUACCUAAAACAGGUGGAAGAUGGGUUCCCAAGGAAACUCCACCACGUGGCCACGUGAUGGAUCUCCUGCGAUGUACGUGGUAGAUGCAGUCUGUCUUCACUGCGAGCCUGGAGCAUGAGGCCAGC
Molecule: long non-coding RNA, 294 nt
Organism: Oxyura jamaicensis (ruddy duck)
Lineage: Eukaryota; Metazoa; Chordata; Aves; Anseriformes; Anatidae
Exons: 3
Source: RefSeq, a predicted model, not a curated record